RNAcentral lists this ribosomal RNA (406 nucleotides) under uncultured bacterium. RNAcentral's name for it is "partial 16S ribosomal RNA". It matches the Rfam family "Bacterial small subunit ribosomal RNA", at positions 30 to 526 of the family's 1533-position model. The record is from RNAcentral.
AUUGAACGCUGGCGGCAGGCCUAACACAUGCAAGUCGAGCGAGCGGCGGACGGGUGAGUAAUGCGUAAAGAACUUGCCUCACAGAUAGGGACAAAAUUUGGAAACGAAUGCUAAUACCUGUUACUGUGAGAGAGCUUUGCGUCGCAUUAGCUAGUUGGAGAGGUAACGGCUCACCAAGGCGAUGAUGGGUAGCCGGCCUGCGAGGGUGAUCGGCCAAAAGGGGACUUAGACACGGCCCUUACUCCUACGUGAGGCAGCAGUGGGGAAUAUUGUAGAAUGGACCGAAGUCUGAUCAAGCAAUUCUGUGUGCACGAUGAAGUUUUCGGAAUGUAAAGUGCCUUCAGUUGGGAAGCGGUACCAACAGAAGAAGUGACGGCUAAAUACGUGCCAGCCGCCGCGGUAAUUC